Molecule: non-coding RNA, 203 nt
Filed under: Symbiodinium sp. clade D
Lineage: Eukaryota; Dinophyceae; Suessiales; Symbiodiniaceae
Source: RNAcentral
AAAAGAAAGCACGAACCGAAUAAAAGGGAACAAGAGGAACAAACAACACACACUUCUUUUCCACUUAAUUUCUCUUUCCUUCCUUUCCCUUUCAUUCAAUUAAAACACGCACUUCAUUUGUUUUUAAUUGAAAUGAAAGGGAAGGAGAAAGAAGGGAAAAGAACCAAAUUCCUCUUCUCUUUUCAUUUCGCUCAUUUAUAAUG